CUUGCCAUACCUGUUCAGCAGUUUCAAAUGGAGGCUGAGACACAAUUCUGUUAUUUGUAGUUUGACUGCUUAUGUGGACAUACAGCUAAGGACUUCGUAGGAGUUAGCCUUCUGCUCCAACAAACAGAAAUUUAAAAGGCGAUACUUGCUCUCAUAGAAUGCACCCGCGGAGGUGGGCCACGAUGGCCCUGUUAUUUGCUGUGUCACUGGCAAAUACUACUGAUUUCUCAAGCACAGCUACUACCUCAAAUGAUUCAACUUCAUCAACAUUUACAUCAAAUGGGACCUCUGUAUCCAGUACAAUUCUACCAUUAUCAGAGACCUCAACUAACAC
This is a long non-coding RNA of Pelobates fuscus (common spadefoot toad), 334 nucleotides long. RefSeq lists it as uncharacterized. The transcript is spliced from 3 exons. The record is from RefSeq and is a predicted model, not a curated record. NCBI's taxonomy places the organism in Eukaryota, Metazoa, Chordata, Amphibia, Anura, Pelobatidae.